CAGCCGCCGCGGUAAUACGUAGGGUGCAAGCGUUAAUCGGAAUUACUGGGCGUAAAGCGUGCGCAGGCGGUUUUGUAAGACAGAGGUGAAAUCCCCGGGAUCAACCUGGGAACUGCCUUUGUGACUGCAAGGCUAGAGUACGGCAGAGGGGGAUGGAAUUCCGCGUGUAGCAGUGAAAUGCGUAGAUAUGCGGAGGAACACCGAUGGCGAAGGCAAUCCCCUGGGCCUGUACUGACGCUCAUGCACGAAAGCGUGGGGAGCAAACAGGAUUAGAUACCCGCGUAGUCCCUGUCUCUUAUAC
Molecule: ribosomal RNA, 301 nt
Filed under: uncultured bacterium
Lineage: Bacteria
Description: partial 16S ribosomal RNA
Rfam family: Bacterial small subunit ribosomal RNA
Source: RNAcentral